GACGAACGCUGGCGGCGUGCUUAACACAUGCAAGUCGAACGGAAAGGCCCUGCUUUUGUGGGGUGCUCGAGUGGCGAACGGGUGAGUAACACGUGAGUAACCUGCCCUUGACUUUGGGAUAACUUCAGGAAACUGGGGCUAAUACCGGAUAGGAGCUCCUGCUGCAUGGUGGGGGUUGGAAAGUUUCGGCGGUUGGGGAUGGACUCGCGGCCUAUCAGCUUGUUGGUGGGGUAGUGGCUUACCAAGGCUUUGACGGGUAGCCGGCCUGAGAGGGUGACCGGCCACAUUGGGACUGAGAUACGGCCCAGACUCCUACGGGAGGCAGCAGUGGGGAAUAUUGCACAAUGGGCGGAAGCCUGAUGCAGCAACGCCGCGUGCGGGAUGACGGCCUUCGGGUUGUAAACCGCUUUCGCCUGUGACGAAGCGUGAGUGACAGUAAUGGGUAAAGAAGCACCGGCUAACUACGUG
This 468-nucleotide ribosomal RNA is filed under the name uncultured bacterium. Its description in RNAcentral is "partial 16S ribosomal RNA". It matches the Rfam family "Bacterial small subunit ribosomal RNA", at positions 28 to 507 of the family's 1533-position model. The record is from RNAcentral.